This 429-nucleotide ribosomal RNA is filed under the name Chloroflexota bacterium. Its description in RNAcentral is "Chloroflexi bacterium partial 16S ribosomal RNA". It matches the Rfam family "Bacterial small subunit ribosomal RNA", at positions 355 to 776 of the family's 1533-position model. The record is from RNAcentral. Lineage: Bacteria; Bacillati; Chloroflexota.
UGGGGAAUAUUGCACAAUGGGCGCAAGCCUGAUGCAGCCAUGCCGCGUGUAUGAAGAAGGCCUUCGGGUUGUAAAGUACUUUCAGCGGGGAGGAAGGGCGUAAGGUUAAUACCUUUGCUCAUUGACGUUACCCGCAGAAGUAGCACCGGCUAACUCCGUGCCAGCAGCCGCGGUAAUACGGAGGGUGCAAGCGUUAAUCGGAAUUACUGGGCGUAAAGCGCACGCAGUCGGUAUGUUAAGUCAGAUGUGAAAUCCCCGGGCUCAACCUGGGAACUGCAUCUGAUACUGGCAAGCUUGAGUCUCGUAGAGGGGGGUAGAAUUCCGAGUGUAGCUGUGAAAUGCGUAGAGAUCUGGAGGAAUACCGGUGGCGAAGGCGGCCCCCUGGACGAAGACUGACGCUCAGGUGCGAAAGCGUGGGGAGCAAACAGG